GUAGUUAGCCGUCACUUGCUCGUCGAGUACCGUCAUUAUCGUCCUCGACAACAGAAGUUUACAAUCCGAAGACCUUCUUCCUUCACGCGGCGUUGCUGGGUCAGGCUUGCGCCCAUUGCCCAAUAUUCCCCACUGCUGCCUCCCGUAGGAGUCUGGACCGUGUCUCAGUUCCAGUGUGGCCGAUCAGCCUCUCAGCUCGGCUACCCAUCGUUGGCUAGGUGGGCCGUUACCCCGCCUACUACCUAAUGGGACGCGAACCCCUCCUUCUGCGGAUUGCUCCUUUGACCCCUGAGCCAUGCGACUCUGUGGUCUUAUGCGGUAUUAAUCUCCCUUUCGGGAGGCUAUUCCCCUCUAUGAGGCAGGUUGCCCACGUGUUACUCACCCGUCCGCCGCUAGAAAAGCCCCGAAGAACUUUUCUCGCUCGACUUGCAUGUGUUAAGCACGCCGCCAGCGUUCAUCCUGAGCCAUAAUCAAACUCUGA
RNAcentral lists this ribosomal RNA (481 nucleotides) under uncultured bacterium. RNAcentral's name for it is "partial 16S ribosomal RNA". The record is from RNAcentral.